This 102-nucleotide non-coding RNA is filed under the name Alicyclobacillus acidocaldarius. RNAcentral's name for it is "Guanine sequence". It matches the Rfam family "Purine riboswitch aptamer". From Rfam's summary of the family: Riboswitches are metabolite binding domains within certain messenger RNAs that serve as precision sensors for their corresponding targets. Allosteric rearrangement of mRNA structure is mediated by ligand binding, and this results in modulation of gene expression. Lineage: Bacteria; Bacillati; Bacillota; Bacilli; Caryophanales; Alicyclobacillaceae. The record is from RNAcentral. RNAcentral also lists the same sequence under 1 other name.
AUGGGUGCGUAAUCCGAGACUCGUAUAAUGCCGGGAAUAUGGCCCGGCAGUCUCUACGAGGCGACCGUAAAUCGCCUUGCUACGAGGUCGGGCAGGAACGUC